AAUAUAAAUAUGAGGCAUCUCUGAUACCACCGUAACAGCUGGCUAUUGAAUUUGUGAUCAGAGAUGGCACAAAGAAGUUGGUGGUAGCAUAUGGCAAAAGGCUUCAGUGAAGAGAUAUGUUAUAGUCCAGAUAAAAAAAUAUUAUUGAAGGAGUCAGUAUGUUGGUGCAUUGAGAUUAGUGCUUUGAAACUUUUUGGUGUGAUUGCUGAU
This 210-nucleotide long non-coding RNA is filed under the name Elaeis guineensis (African oil palm). Its description in RNAcentral is "long non-coding RNA (EGUI_LNC037277)". The record is from RNAcentral. Lineage: Eukaryota; Viridiplantae; Streptophyta; Magnoliopsida; Arecales; Arecaceae.